AGAUGUACAGCCAAUCGCGACGUGAGUAAUCGAAUGUGUAUGUGACGUUGAAUUUGGCGGGAUUGUUAAAUUGUUGUCAACCUCUUUGACACAUACGUAUUAUUCUAUGAUUUAUUUAUUUUAAUUGUAUGAUAUGCUUCGAAUGUAAUAGAAAAUUCACGGUCAAAAAGCGAAGAAAUCAAAUGUAAAAUAAUAAAGAACGGUGCAUGGCGGUGAUCUGGAAAUAACAAAACAGCUGCGUUAUAUAAAAUAUUGCAUCGUAUAUUUAACAACCAGUGGUAACAAAGGUAGGUUCUCUUUUUCUUUUACGUACUUACAGCAACAGAACAAUAUUCUCGCAAGAUACAAGCUCUUCAGCCUGUAUAUAACUUUCUACAUAUAAUUUAUUUAGAUUCUUAUUUGUCACCUACAAACUUCGAAGGAGCAUCCUAACAUAACAAGUAAUAUAUCACUAGAAAAAAUCGAUUUGUUCUGUUUCAAACAACUUAUAUAACUUAUGAAAUGUAAUGACUUUUAUGUAUAUGAAUCUACAUAGAAAUAUAUAUGUAUAUAUAUCCUUUUUUUUAAAGAAUAUGAUUCUCUAUAGCACGCGAAAUGCUUUCUCUGAAAUAUAUAGAUAUAAUCUGUUACAUCUGCGCACUUUUCUUGUCUUAAAUAUUUUUACAUAAUAACUACUAAAUGAUAAAAAAUUUUCGAUAAUAUCUCUCACCUAUAUAUACAUAAUUUCUCGCCGCUACAUAUCAUACUUUUUUUGUUUUUGGUCUUAUAAAGAGCAGUGUUGCUUCAGUCAUCUUUGGUAGAAGCAUGUGUGCAUGCUAUUUUUCACAUAACAUUAUUUCAAUACAAGAUAACAUAAGACCU
Long non-coding RNA from Formica exsecta, 861 nucleotides. RefSeq lists it as uncharacterized. The transcript is spliced from 2 exons. The record is from RefSeq and is a predicted model, not a curated record. Lineage: Eukaryota; Metazoa; Arthropoda; Insecta; Hymenoptera; Formicidae.